This 308-nucleotide long non-coding RNA is filed under the name Mytilus galloprovincialis (Mediterranean mussel). Lineage: Eukaryota; Metazoa; Mollusca; Bivalvia; Mytilida; Mytilidae. The record is from RNAcentral.
ACGGAUUUCUAUUGAGCACUACUUCCUAUGUGCAACUUCAAAACUUUUGUGUGGUUUGACGAUCAUUUAAGGUUUUUCUUGUCAUAUGUUUGGUAUUUAAGAAUUAAAAGUAUGAAAAAAUUGCCCAAUAAGUUAUAAAUAACAUUAUUGCCAGCUAGAUCAUAACGACGGCACUUAUAUCAGCAUGUAUUGGGUAGAACACAAAUAUAGGGUGCUCGCAUGAGGCGGGCUUAACUGCCUAAGAAAAAAACACGACAAAAUGCCCAAAAAAUCCAGUAUAACAUACCCAAACUUUGGGCCAAAGAGAG